GUUGGGGAGUAAAGUGAGGCACGUGUGCCUUUUUGCAUUUACCCUUCGAAUAAGGACCGGCUAAUUCCGUGCCAGCAGCCGCGGUAAUACGGAAGGUCCAGGCGUUAUCCGGAUUUAUUGGGUUUAAAGGGAGUGUAGGCGGUCUGUUAAGCGUGUUGUGAAAUUUAGGUGCUCAACAUCUACCUUGCAGCGCGAACUGGCGGACUUGAGUGCACGCAACGUAUGCGGAAUUCAUGGUGUAGCGGUGAAAUGCUUAGAUAUCAUGACGAACUCCGAUUGCGAAGGCAGCGUACGGGAGUGUUACUGACGCUUAAGCUCGAAGGUGCGGGUAUCGAACAGGAUUAGAUACCCUGGUAGUCCGCACGGUAAACGAUGGAUGCCCGCUGUUAGCGCCUGGCGUUAGCGGCUAAGCGAAAGCAUUAAGCAUCCCACCUGGGGAGUACGCCGGCAACGGUGAAACUCAAAGGAAUUGACGGGGGCCCGCACAAGCGGAGGAACAUGUGGUUUAAUUCGAUGAUACGCGAGGAACCUUACCCGGGCUUGAAUUGCAGACGCAGGAUACAGAGAUGUUGACUCCCUUCGGGGCGUCUGUGAAGGUGCUGCAUGGUUGUCGUCAGCUCGUGCCGUGAGGUGUCGGCUUAAGUGCCAUAACGAGCGCAACCCCUUUCCUUAGUUGCCAUCAGGUUAUGCUGGGCACUCUGGGGAUACUGCCACCGCAAGGUGUGAGGAAGGUGGGGAUGACGUCAAAUCAGCACGGCCCUUACGUCCGGGGCUACACACGUGUUACAAUGGCCGGUACAGAGGGACGGUGUAAUGUAAAUUGCAUCCAAUCUUGAAAGCCGGUCCCAGUUCGGACUGAGGUCUGCAACCCGACCUCACGAAGCUGGAUUCGCUAGUAAUCGCGCAUCAGCCAUGGCGCGGUGAAUACGUUCCCGGGCCUUGUACACACCGCCCGUCAAGCCAUGAAAGCCGGGGGUGCCUGAAGU
RNAcentral lists this ribosomal RNA (986 nucleotides) under Prevotella intermedia. RNAcentral's name for it is "bacterial SSU rRNA". It matches the Rfam family "Bacterial small subunit ribosomal RNA", at positions 438 to 1427 of the family's 1533-position model. The record is from RNAcentral. Lineage: Bacteria; Pseudomonadati; Bacteroidota; Bacteroidia; Bacteroidales; Prevotellaceae.